Molecule: ribosomal RNA, 484 nt
Filed under: uncultured bacterium
Lineage: Bacteria
Description: partial 16S ribosomal RNA
Rfam family: Bacterial small subunit ribosomal RNA
Source: RNAcentral
AUUGAACGCUGGCGGCAGGCCUAACACAUGCAAGUCGAGCGGGUGAAGUCUGCUUGCUCCUGGAUUCAUCGGUGGACGGGUGAUUAAUGCCUAGUAAUUUGCCUGGUAGUUGGGGAUAACUUCCUGAUACGGGCGCUAAUUCCUCAUACGUCCUGCGGGUGAAAGUGGUGGAUCUUCGGACCUCACGUUCUCAGAUGAGCCUAGGUCGGAUUAGGUAGUUGGUGGGGUAAGGGCCUACCAAGGCGACGAUCCGUAACUGGUCUGAGAGGAUGAUCAGUCACACUGGAAGUGAGACAGGGUCCAGACUCAUACGGGAGGCAGCAGUGGGGAAUAUUGAUCGAAGGGCGAAAGCAUGAUCCAGCCAUGCAGCGUGUGUGAAGAAGGUAUUCGGAUUGUAAAGCAAUUUAAGUUGGGAGGAAGGAAAGUAAGUUAAGACCUGGCGGGGUUGACGUUACCAACAGAAGAAGCGCCGGCUAACUUCGUG